UACGGGGGGGGCAAGCGUUGUUCGGAAUUAUUGGGCGUAAAGGGCUCGUAGGCGGCCAACUAAGUCAGACGUGAAAUCCCUCGGCUCAACCGGGGAACUGCGUCUGAUACUGGAUGGCUUGAAUCCGGGAGAGGGAUGUGGAAUUCCAGGUGUAGCGGUGAAAUGCGUAGAUAUCUGGAGGAACACCGGUGGCGAAGGCGGCAUCCUGGACCGGUAUUGACGCUGAGGAGCGAAAGCCAGGGGAGCAAACGGG
Molecule: ribosomal RNA, 253 nt
Filed under: uncultured bacterium
Lineage: Bacteria
Description: partial 16S ribosomal RNA
Rfam family: Bacterial small subunit ribosomal RNA
Source: RNAcentral